GGGGAAUUUUCCGCAAUGGGCGAAAGCCUGACGGAGCAAGACCGCGUGGGGGAGGAAGGUUCUUGGAUUGUCAACCCCUUUUCUCAGGGAAGAACAAAAUGACGGUACCUGAGGAAAAAGCAUCGGCUAACUCCGUGCCAGCAGCCGCGGUAAUACGGGGGAUGCAAGCGUUAUCCGGAAUGAUUGGGCGUAAAGAGUCCGUAGGUAGUCAAUCAAGUCUGCUGUUAAAGAGCGAGGCUUAACUUCGUAAAGGCAGUGGAAACUGUAAGACUAGAGUGUAGUAGGGGCAGAGGGAAUUCCUGGUGUAGCGGUGAAAUGCGUAGAGAUCAGGAAGAACACCGGUGGCGAAGGCGCUCUGCUGGGCUAUAACUGACACUGAGGGACGAAAGCUAGGGGAGCGAAUGGGAUUAGAUACCCCAGUAGUCCUAGCGGUAAACGAUGGAAACUAGGUGUGGCCUGUAUCGACCCGGGCCGUGCCGAAGCUAACGCGUUAAGUUUCCCGCCUGGGGAGUACGCACGCAAGUGUGAAACUCAAAGGAAUUGACGGGGGCCCGCACAAGCGGUGGAGUAUGUGGUUUAAUUCGAUGCAACGCGAAGAACCUUACCAGGACUUGACAUCUCUGGAAUCCUGCCGAAAGGUGGGAGUGCCGUAAGGAACCAGAAGACAGGUGCUGCAUGGCUGUCGUCAGCUCGUGUCGUGAGAUGUUGGGUUAAGUCCCGCAACGAGCGCAACCCUCGUCGUUAGUUGCCAUCAUUAAGUUGGGAACUCUAGCGAGACUGCCGGUGACAAACCGGAGGAAGGUGAGGAUGACGUCAAGUCAGCAUGGCCCUUACGUCCUGGGCGACACACGUACUACAAUGCGAGGGACAGAGAGCAGCCAACCCGCGAGGGAGAGCGAACCUCUUAAACCCUGGCACAGUUCAGAUUGCAGGCUGCAACUCGCCUGCAUGAAGGAGGAAUCGCUAGUAAUUGCAGGUC
This 979-nucleotide ribosomal RNA is filed under the name uncultured Oscillatoriales cyanobacterium. Its description in RNAcentral is "bacterial SSU rRNA". It matches the Rfam family "Bacterial small subunit ribosomal RNA", at positions 356 to 1350 of the family's 1533-position model. The record is from RNAcentral. Lineage: Bacteria; Bacillati; Cyanobacteriota; Cyanophyceae; Oscillatoriales.